Molecule: long non-coding RNA, 712 nt
Filed under: Homo sapiens (human)
Lineage: Eukaryota; Metazoa; Chordata; Mammalia; Primates; Hominidae
Description: HSALNT0387786
Source: RNAcentral
GGGGAACCUCACAUCUCCCAGACCUACGCAGGUCCCGAGUCUCAUGCCAUCGUCUCCCAGACCUACGCGGGUCCCGGGUCUCACGCCAUCGUCUCCCAGACCUACGCGGGUCCCGAGUCUCACGCCAACGUCUCCCAGAGCUACACGGGUCCCGAGUCUCAUGCCAACGUCUCCCAGAGCUACACAGUUCCUGAGUCUCAUGCCAACGUCUCCCAGAGCUACGCGGGUCCCGAGUCUCAUGCCAACGUCUCCCAGAGCUACACAGUUCCUGAGUCUCAUGCCAACGUCACAGUGUUCACUGAGUGACCACCGGCCACUCCCUGCAGUUUCCUGAUGUGUAGAAUGAGUGGGGAAGAGGAGGAUCUGGCAGAACAGCAGCCAAUCCCUGGGCCUUCAGGCGCGCGACCAGGCCAGGCAAUUGAGGCGGCAGACACAACGCAGGCCGCUCAUCAGCGAGGCUCGAAACAGGGAGGCCAGCCUGGGUGAGCAGGGGGUGGGGUGGGACACAGCCACAGGGUCCUCAAAAGUGGAACAGGCGCCGGGCGCGGUGGCUCACGCCUGUAAUCCCAACACUUUCGGAGGCCGAGGCGGGCAGAUCACGAGGUCAGGAGAUUGAGACCAUACUGGCCAACAUAGUGAAACUCCGUCUCUACUAAAAAUACAAAAAUUAGCCGGGCAUGGUAGAGCAUGCCUGUAGUCCCAGCUACUCGGG